UACGGAGGGUGCAAGCGUUAUCCGGAUUCACUGGGUUUAAAGGGCGCGUAGGCGGCUCUGUUGGUCGUGGGUGAAAUCCCCCAGCUUAACUGGGGAACUGCCUACGAUACCGCGGAGCUCGAGGGAGGAAGGGGCGGCCGGAACUGUCGGUGGAGCGGUGAAAUGCGUUGAUAUCGACAGGAACGCCGGUGGCGAAAGCGGGCCGCUGGCCCUCUUCUGACGCUGAGGCGCGAAAGCCAGGGGAGCGAACGGG
This 253-nucleotide ribosomal RNA is filed under the name uncultured bacterium. Its description in RNAcentral is "partial 16S ribosomal RNA". It matches the Rfam family "Bacterial small subunit ribosomal RNA", at positions 524 to 776 of the family's 1533-position model. The record is from RNAcentral.